Molecule: unclassified non-coding RNA, 1849 nt
Filed under: Hevea brasiliensis (rubber tree)
Lineage: Eukaryota; Viridiplantae; Streptophyta; Magnoliopsida; Malpighiales; Euphorbiaceae
Source: RNAcentral
AUUAAUCAAGCAAUUAAUUUUCUAUUAAGGCUUAACAAAUAUAUCUCUAAUAGUCUUACAUGAUAGAUGCUUUAGGAUAAAUAUAUAAAGGAUAGUGCCUCCAUAAUCAUAUGCAUCAUUUCUAUCUCCAUCUUUGUAUGUUCUCCUCACACACAAAUUUCUGCUAUGGAGGAUCAGUUUCCCAAAAUGGAAACCUUCAUGCCCAAGGACUUGCCUUUUUAUGGUUUUCAUGGAACGGCUACAGAAUCCAAAUAUUUUCAUGAUCCAAUCAUUUGGGGAGCUCCAACUGAAACUACUACUUGUCACGACAAUGGUAAUAGUGGCAUGAAAUCAACAGCAUCAUCAUCAUCUUCUUCUGAAAGAUUCUUUUCAAGUUCCGAUUCUAGUUCAUCGGUGGAGGAGGCUUCAGGUACCAAUAAUUUGAUUGGUAACAUCCCGGGGUUUGUUGAACAGGAUGUUACCAAACAAAUCCAUGCAAGUUGUUUUCUUUCGGGAUUGAGUUCUUCUAUCAACUCUCCUCUCUCUGGAGCGUCACUAUCUGCUACUAUCAAAGAAAGCUCCAAUAUUCCUGUAAAUUUCUUAGAAUCUUUUCCAAAAAUAAAUCAAAAUCCAGCAUCUGAGCCAUCUUCUCCAACGAAAUUCCCAAAUUUGACUUUGUUUUUGCAGGAACCUAGAUUGUUAGAUCCAUCCAAACAAAAGAAUACUGCUGAUUCACUCAGUGAGAAUCAAAGAUUCGAGCCAAUGUUACUGUUUCCAAACACUUCAUUUUCCGUGCCUCAGCUUGGGCAAACUCAUUGCCAACCAAGCGAAGAAUGGCUCAAAAUUAAUCAAACCUUGACAGACUAUCCCACAAGAGGCUUCAGUGAUUAUUGGCUUAGCACUACCAAGACACAGCCGAUGAAAUACACUGGUCGAAGAUUGCAGAAUGAGCAUCAAAAGUCCUCUUUAUCAUUGGCGGCAUCGUCACCGGGAAAGAUGUUUAGAGGAGUGAGGCAAAGACACUGGGGCAAAUGGGUCGCAGAGAUUAGGUUACCAAGAAACCGGACAAGGGUUUGGUUAGGGACUUUUGACACGGCAAAAGAGGCCGCUAUUGCUUAUGAUACAGCUGCCUAUAUGUUACGCGGAGAUUAUGCACAUUUAAAUUUCCCAGAUCUUAAGCCUCAACUUAAAGCCAAUUCUCUGAAUGGAACAACGGCAGCCCUUCUUGAAGCAAAGUUACAAUCAAUAUCAAAGGACAAUGUUAAUAUUGAUGCACCAUCACCAUCAUCAAACCAGCAUAUAUAUGAGAAUAACACAAAGCAGCUCAGGGGUUUGGGCCAAAACCUAUCAAGAAAAGAGUGGCAAUUUGAGUUUGAGAGCAAAGUUGGAUUUGAUAGUGAAAUGAAUGAGAAAAAGAAAGCUCAGGAGGUUGUAGCAUCUGAUAUAGAUGCUGUUCAGUUAAGCAGAAUGCCUUCCUUGGACAUGGACAUGAUCUGGGAUGCUUUGUUACGCUCUGAUUCAUGAAUAUAUGUAAAUAUUUCCCCUCACUUUUUAUAUUUUCCGACUGAGUAUAUAUAUACGGUGCUUAGAUUGCCUUAGAUUGAAUAGAUGUUCAUUAUGGUAUUUAUGUUUGUGCCUUGAAUAGCAUAUACUAAUUGAAUUUUUCUUUUUCUUUUAUUAACUAUAGAAAUUGAAGGUCAUUAAUUUGGUUCCUUUUCGCUUAAUUAAUGAUCUGAAUUUAGGAUCUAUACGUGUAGGGUUUUCUCAAAUACGUUUGUUAUUUGCUCAAUUCAUGUCCUCCUUAAUUCCUCACUUUUUUUUCCCUUUCUGUAAGUUUUGUUUCUGGGUUUCAGGUGUUGAUUAGUUUCAG